UAAAGUUAGGUCUGUGGAUGAAAGUCGAUGCCAGUCGCAGGCGAAACGAUCCACGUAAGUUAAACAAAGUUUUAAUGAGCAUGGUGCGGUAUAGAAGUAAGCCCUGCCAGUAGAGAUACUGAGAGUGUUAGUAGUGAGAGGUUAAUUCCGGGUAGCAAAAGCUCCAGCAGGCGAGUGUGGGGUCAAAAUCCAGGUCAGCUAACUUUA
Molecule: regulatory RNA element, 207 nt
Organism: Clostridium celatum DSM 1785
Lineage: Bacteria; Bacillati; Bacillota; Clostridia; Eubacteriales; Clostridiaceae
Rfam family: raiA RNA
Source: Rfam